Molecule: long non-coding RNA, 286 nt
Filed under: Brachypodium distachyon (stiff brome)
Lineage: Eukaryota; Viridiplantae; Streptophyta; Magnoliopsida; Poales; Poaceae
Description: long non-coding RNA (BDIS_LNC000162)
Source: RNAcentral
UUAAAUAGUGUGUUGUCAUUAAUGUGGGUGGGUAAAGUGCCUCACGAGGUGGGUCUCCUGCAAGGAGAGGCGCGAGAGGCAGCGCCCAACGCCACAAAUAGAGAAAAAGAGCAUAUCAUACAUAAUUAGCGACGGAGAUUAGCCAUGAGCUGCUUACUCCGUUCUACCCGCCGCGUCAACUCCUCACUAGACCUCGCAACCCGGUGCAGCCACAUGACCGCAUCCCCUAGCGUUCUAAGCGUCCCGACCUUCCCAGCCUUCGGUAACCACCUGCGCACCCCCUUGC